RNAcentral lists this ribosomal RNA (440 nucleotides) under uncultured bacterium. RNAcentral describes it as "partial 16S ribosomal RNA". It matches the Rfam family "Bacterial small subunit ribosomal RNA", at positions 338 to 795 of the family's 1533-position model. The record is from RNAcentral.
CCUACGGGAGGCAGCAGUGGGGAAUAUUGCUCAAUGGGGGAAACCCUGAAGCAGCGACGCCGCGUGAGGGAUGAAGGCUUUCGGGAUGUAAAACCCUUUUUGUAGGGAAGCAAAUGACGGUAUCUGACGAAUAAGCCCCGGCUACCUACGUGCCAGCAGCCGCGGUAAUACGUCGGGGGCAAGCGUUACUCGGAAUUACUGGGCGUAAAGGGGGCUUAGUCGGGAUAGCAGGUCGGAUGGGAAAUCUUAUGGCGUAACCAUAGAACUGCAGUGGAAACUGUUAUUCUGGAGUUGGGGAGAGGUAUGCGGAAUGCGUGGUGUAGCGGGGAAAUGCGUAGAUAUCAGGAGGAACACCGAUGGCGAAGGCGGCAUACCGGAGUGUAACUGACGCUGAUGCGCGAAAGCGUGGGUAGCAAACAGGAUUAGAUACCCUAGUAGUC